Molecule: ribosomal RNA, 211 nt
Filed under: uncultured bacterium
Lineage: Bacteria
Description: partial 16S ribosomal RNA
Rfam family: Bacterial small subunit ribosomal RNA
Source: RNAcentral
UGGGGCACGGGGGGCCUACGGGAGGCAGCAGUAGGGAAUCUUCCACAAUGGGCGCAAGCCUGAUGGAGCAACGCCGCGUGUGUGAUGAAGGGUUUCGGCUCGUAAAACACUGUUAUAAGAGAAGAACGGCACUGAGAGUAACUGUUCAGUGUGUGACGGUAUCUUACCAGAAAGGAACGGCUAAAUACGUGCCAGCAGCCGCGGUAAUAAU